AUGCAGGUACUGUUAAAACUGAAGUGUUUUAUGGUCUUUUCCUCCUGUUUAAAGCAUUUGGUACAUAAGUAUCUCUAACUCCACUCCAUAAUAAAACGGAGACACUUGGUCCCCAACAU
This 119-nucleotide small nucleolar RNA is filed under the name Cercocebus atys (sooty mangabey). Its description in RNAcentral is "Small nucleolar RNA SNORA63 (ENSCATG00000021380.1)". Lineage: Eukaryota; Metazoa; Chordata; Mammalia; Primates; Cercopithecidae. The record is from RNAcentral.